GGUUGAUCCCGCCGGAGGUCACUGCUAUUGGGAUUCGACUAAGCCAUGCGAGUCGCGAGGGUUCGGCCCUCGGCUGACGGCUCAGUAACACGCGGAUAAUCUGCCCUUAGGUGGAGGAUAAUCUCGGGAAACUGAGAAUAAUAUUCCAUAGAUUUAGGAUGCUGGAAUGCACUUAAAUUAAAAGCUUCGGCGCCUAAGGAUGAGUCUGCGGACUAUCAGGUUGUACUCAGGGUAACGACCUGACUAGCCUACGACGGAUACGGGUUGUGAGACCAAUAACCCGGAGAUGAUAUCUGAGACACGAUAUCAGGCCCUACGGGGUGCAUUAGGCGCUAACACUUCCCUAUGUGCCAAACUACUACGAGGGACUCCUCAGUCCUGUCUCGUUCCACUCCCCUCC
This 400-nucleotide ribosomal RNA is filed under the name uncultured archaeon. RNAcentral's name for it is "bacterial SSU rRNA". It matches the Rfam family "Archaeal small subunit ribosomal RNA", at positions 6 to 415 of the family's 1478-position model. The record is from RNAcentral.